GUACACUCCUACGGGAGGCAGCAGUGGGGAAUAUUGGACAAUGGGCGCAAGCCUGAUCCAGCCAUGCCGCGUGAGAGAUGAAGGCCCUAGGGUUGUAAAGCUCUUUCACCGGAGAAGAUAAUGACGGUAUCCGGAGAAGAAGCCCCGGCUAACUUCGUGCCAGCAGCCGCGGUAAUACGAAGGGGGCUAGCGUUGUUCGGAAUUACUGGGCGUAAAGCGCACGUAGGCGGAUCGAUCAGUCAGGGGUGAAAUCCCAGGGCUCAACCCUGGAACUGCCUUUGAUACUGUCGAUCUGGAGUAUGGAAGAGGUGAGUGGAAUUCCGAGUGUAGAGGUGAAAGUCGUAGAUAUUCGGAGGAACACCAGUGGCGAAGGCGGCUCACUGGUCCAUUACUGACGCUGAGGUGCGAAAGCGUGGGGAGCAAACAGGAUUAGAUACCCCUGUAGUCCCAUGAU
This 454-nucleotide ribosomal RNA is filed under the name uncultured organism. RNAcentral describes it as "partial 16S ribosomal RNA". It matches the Rfam family "Bacterial small subunit ribosomal RNA", at positions 331 to 801 of the family's 1533-position model. The record is from RNAcentral.